Molecule: ribosomal RNA, 305 nt
Filed under: uncultured bacterium
Lineage: Bacteria
Description: bacterial SSU rRNA
Rfam family: Bacterial small subunit ribosomal RNA
Source: RNAcentral
CCGUGCCUACGGGGCGCAGCAGUGAGGAAUAUUGGUCAAUGGGCGCGAGCCUGAACCAGCCACGUCGCGUGAGGGAAGACGGUCCUAUGGAUUGUAAACCUCUUUUGUCGGGGAGCAAAAGACGCCACGCGUGGCGUUCCGAGAGUACCCGAAGAAAAAGCAUCGGCUAACUCCGUGCCAGCAGCCGCGGUAAUACGGAGGAUGCGAGCGUUAUCCGGAUUUAUUGGGUUUAAAGGGUGCGCAGGCGGAAGAUCAAGUCAGCGGUAAAAUUGAGAGGCUCAACCUCUUCAAGCGGUUGAAACUGG